This 742-nucleotide small RNA is filed under the name Pan troglodytes (chimpanzee). RNAcentral's name for it is "processed transcript". The record is from RNAcentral. Lineage: Eukaryota; Metazoa; Chordata; Mammalia; Primates; Hominidae.
GCUAGGGAGCACACCCCUUCUGAGGGCUCGAGACCUCCCUGGGUGGAGCAGAACUGCAGCGGCUGCAGGUCCCGGAGAGUCUGGGAGAGGUCGAGGUUGACAGAGGAGAUGGGUAGGGGGCGCGGGCGCCAGGGGCGAUGGAAGCGGCGACGAUGCCAGGCCGGGUGGGUGCGCUCCAGUGUGAAACUUACAAGUCUCUGAGCACACAAAGAGAUAAGAUUCCAAGGGAAAAUUAAAGAACCGAAGAAAAGGAGAGUGAAACUCCAGGAAACUCCGAGGUCAGGAAUUUGGGGGAAGCUAGGGGAAAAGGGACUUCUCCGAGAACUCGUAGCGCGGAGGAGGGGACGCCUGAGGAGCCGCAGUCUCCAGGAGAGCGAACCGUGGAACCUCUGGAGUAUUACAGGAGAUUUCUGAAAGAGAACUGCCGUCCUGAUGGAAGAGAACUUGGUGAAUUCAGAACCACAACUGUCAACAUCGGUUCAAUUAGUACCGCAGAUGGUUCUGCUUUAGUGAAGUUGGGAAAUACUACAGUAAUUUGUGGAGUUAAAGCAGAAUUUGCAGCACCACCAACAGAUGCCCCUGAUAAAGGAUACGUUGUUCCUAAUGUGGAUCUACCACCCCUGUGUUCAUCGAGAUUCCGGUCUGGACCUCCUGGAGAAGAGGCCCAAGUGGCUAGCCAGUUCAUUGCAGAUGUCAUUGAAAAUUCACAGAUAAUUCAGAAAGAGGACUUAUGCAUUUCUCC